RNAcentral lists this small RNA (24 nucleotides) under Arabidopsis thaliana (thale cress). The record is from RNAcentral. Lineage: Eukaryota; Viridiplantae; Streptophyta; Magnoliopsida; Brassicales; Brassicaceae.
AUUUUCAAUAAAUUUUUCCAGGCC